UAGGCAGUUGUUUUAAAUUAAACUUUUAUUUUGUGUCUCCCCCUUCAGCAUCCUGUCCAAGACAAAGCUACCUUUCCUCGUGGGAAUGGACUGGCCGGGCUUUGGCAAUCUGGCCCCUCGAAAGUCUUAAGUGACCUCUUCCAGCAGGGGAAGACUGAAGCAAGGGGUGCCAGAAAGAACUGGAGUUUCUGGAGAAUAAAAGCUGGAAGCGUGCCCCCGAAAAUCCCCCCGGGUGGUCAGUGGUCUGACUUGCAGGGACCGGUGGCCUUGGCCAGGAGCGGUCCUGUGGGAAGCGGCUUUGCCCAGCCUGUAAUUUUAAUUUCCAUUGGCUGCUUGGCAAAGCCCCCCUGAGUGAGCCCCAGUGCCUGGCAUGAGCGGAGCGGGCUUCCAGGGAGGUAUUCACCUGGUCAGCGUCAGGAACCAUCCUAACUGAGGCCUCGGCUCCCUCUUUCCCUUCGGUUGCCAUGGGUGUGCCGGACACCUCUGGCAGGACUAACCCUGUGGCUUUUAUGUCCAACGUGCUGUGCUGUGUGCCUGCAGAUGAGGGAAUCGGGUUCCAAUUCCUAAUGAUUUGGUGGGUGCAGGAAUGAUUUCUGUGUGUUUUCCAGUCCCUUUUGAUUCCUGAGAUGAUUUUAAAAUGAUGGCUUUAGCAAUCAACUAAAUCGGAGAUGUUGUUUUUGAGAGGAAAUGAUGCCAAAUAAAUGCAGAGUUUUGGGUCAGUUUUUGGGAUGAUUUGGGUCAUUUUUUGGGGUCAGUUUGGGGGUCACUGUUUGGGGUGAUUUGGGUCAGUUUUGGGUCAGCUUUUGGGAUGAUUGGGGUCAGUUUUGGGUCAGCUUUUGGGAUGAUUUGGGUCGGUUUUGGGGUCAAUUUUUGGGGAGCACUGGGUGCUACUGGAGGUUGUUGGGGAGCACUGGGAGAGAAGAUGAAAAAUAAAGAGAAUAAAAAAUAAACGAAAUAAAAAAAGGAAAUAUAAAAAACAAAAGAAAAUUAAAAAAAAGGCAAAAAACCUAAAAAGGAAAUAAAA
Long non-coding RNA from Pseudopipra pipra, 1024 nucleotides. RefSeq lists it as uncharacterized. NCBI's taxonomy places the organism in Eukaryota, Metazoa, Chordata, Aves, Passeriformes, Pipridae. The transcript has 4 exons. The record is from RefSeq and is a predicted model, not a curated record.